CCUCCUCUUUCCCCACCUCCUCCCCCUCUGCCACCGCCUCCUCCUUCACCACCACCACUCCCUCCGGGGCACCCCGGUCCCUGCAGAGUCCCCGGCCCGCGCCGCCUCUGCUGCGGCCCCCCGCAUCCCGAGCUGGAGGGACAGACGGACAGACGGACACGCAGAUCCCUCGCGCCUAGCUCUCGGCCGCUGCUGCCCCCUGUGGCCCUGCGUCCGGGAAGCUGGGAUCGCCCCCCGGAGCACGGCGAGGGCUCACAUGGAAAAGCACCAAGGAAUGUUCAGAAAACAUGCGAAGACUCUGCCUUUUCUAUUUAUGUAAUUAGCUCAAGAAACUUGCCCUGCGUCCUUUCUUCAACUGCCUUGACAUUCUCCCGGCGCUACGUUGCCUCCUCCAAGGCACCGGGGGCUGGCUGACUUAGAAGCGCGAAUCAGUUUCAGCUGCAAAGAACUUGAGCUCCUGGAUUUUCAGCGUGAACCCCUUGGCACAGCAGGAGCAUCUAGGGAUGGCUGCCCGGCUUUGUGUCCACGCACCCCCGUCCACCAGCCAGCCAUCCGACGCCAGGGUUUGUCUGCCCAGAGAUCCCCUCUUGCAGAGGAAGAAAUUGAGCAUCAGAGAGAGAGGAAGGGGCUCCUAUGGGCGCAGCUUGGCCACGCCCACCUCUGGCCACAGAGAAGCAAAGGCAGAGCAGGUAGGAGACGGGGAGGAAGAAGGGAGGGCGUUUCUGGGCGCCAGGUCGGCACAUCUGAGCAGCUGAAGACAGCGUGGAGGAGGGCAGCAACUGUCUGGAAGUCCAAGGAUCCUGUUUGCUCCUGAGUGCCAGAGGGUGCAUGCCAGGGCCUGGAGCCCUACCCACCAGGAGCAGAGCACAGCCAGAAAGCCCGCAUUAAUAAUUCCUUUGAAAUAAAACCAUGCUCUUCAGGGCAACAGAGACUGAUUCAAUCGGCAAAGAGCAGAGGGCUCUCGUUACAAUCAUAAAGAAAGGCGGGGCUGCUGACGAGUGUCAGUGUUCCAGAAAAGAAGAGGGGAGAUAAGAAAGCAGGGAGUGCAGGCCUCGGACAGCCUCACGCUAUGGCUUGGACCCUGGGAUGCACAUGUCGGAGGGGGCGAGAAGAUGCUAGAUUUUCUACCGAGAUGAUCAGAGAGGUCGUAGGUUCUCCAGAGAAGUUGGCCAGGAGCCUGGAGCAGCACACACACACACACACACACACACACACACACACACACGAUCGUGCACCAUCACACAA
Molecule: long non-coding RNA, 1245 nt
Organism: Mustela erminea (ermine)
Lineage: Eukaryota; Metazoa; Chordata; Mammalia; Carnivora; Mustelidae
Exons: 4
Source: RefSeq, a predicted model, not a curated record